Molecule: long non-coding RNA, 3212 nt
Filed under: Homo sapiens (human)
Lineage: Eukaryota; Metazoa; Chordata; Mammalia; Primates; Hominidae
Description: non-protein coding lnc-VPS26C-2:2
Source: RNAcentral
AAGCCCACCCCGCGCGCCCGGGCCUGGAGGGCUCUCACCGCGGUCCGGGCGCCGCGCUCGCCUCUCUCCCCGGGAAGCGCGGCGGCCGCGACCGUCCGCGCGUGGAGCCGGUUCUUCGAAGGGCUGGCGGGCCUCCUAGCCGGAAAAUGCCGGCGGAGGCCGUGGUGGGGGCGGGGAGGAGCCACCGCCGCGCCCCAGACAUCGCAGGAAUUCCGGACGCUGCGCCGGGCCCGGCGGCCCUGAGGCUGGCACCUGGCUCCGGUCGGGCCGCCCAGGUUUUGUGGCGCCCGAGACCAGCGUUGGGAAAUUAGGCUGGAGCCAUCAUGAAAACUUUUUCAGGCAGUGCACGCUCGCCUGUGCCUGCCCAUCUGCUUCCAACCUCUCCCCACCUUUCGGGGCGCAGCCUGCCUGCUCCAUCGGAAUGCCCUUUAGAUGAAUCCCCUUGUGCUGUUACUGUGUCCUUGUCGUCCAGCUCUCUGGUUUUCUUUUCUAUACACCUUCUCGGUUUCCAGAGUCUUAAUUCGCCUGCUUGUCCUUAACCAUCAAAACUCUUUAUUAAUAUCCUGGCUUUCGCUGAUUUUUAUUCUCCCUACCCCUUCUCCCUAGCUAUGUAUUGCUGGGUGAGCUCCCGAGGCUUGAAAACCCAAGUAUGCUGUGCUGGCUGCGUUGUAAUCGGUAGAGAGCCACCAGCUAAAAAUUGUAUUUUGUACCAACUCUAAUGGCAUUUAAUAAAUGUAUACCUAAAAAGAGUGUGUGUGUAUAUAUAUACUAUUUUACAGCAGAGUCACUAAUUGAUUUCUAAGCUUGAUUUUGCCACCUUGUGAUAGUGUUCGUAACCAAUUUUUUUCAUAAAUUUCACAAAUGUGACAACAGAUAAAAUCUUAUAAACAAUAUUAGAUGUAAAAAACUCGCAGUAAAUGCCGCUGUCUAUGCUACAUGACUCAAAUACACCUGCUUUAAAUGAUUUCCAGCAAAAAUGUCCUUGCUACAGUUACUAGGACAUUGAUAUACUAAGGUAACCAUUCAGAUUAGCACAGACUUUGAAAGAAAUCCGACUAAACCGAAAAUAAAUUAGUCAAAAAGUAAUUACUAAGGUAACCAUUCAGAUUAGCACAGACUUGGAAGAAACCUGACUAAACCGAAAAUAAAUUGGUCAAAAAGUGGUCGGGCAAAUAGCUUGCUUUCAGGCUGAUCUCCAUGAUAUAAAAAAGUUGCCGUAGCUGGCAAAAGUUCUUUCGGAUUAUUGUUUCAAAAUUGCCCUGCUAGUGUGAUUAAGGUCCACGGUCAACUUAAUUGUUUUGAAGAAAGAGGAAGUGGCCCAGAGCGCCCCUUAUUCAGAGGAGAGGUCCCUACCUGGUUCCUCCCAAGCUCAAGCUUCCACCUAUACAACCAACUUCUUCCUCUCUGCUUGUGGGUCUCCUUCCUGCCCCCACCCCAUCCCACCCCAUUCACCAAGCUUUCGCUUCUAUCAGAGCACAUCAGCAUUUGCAACCUUUAAUACUAAAUUAAAUUUGACUCAAAUUUUUAUUCCUGGUAAUGGAAGAAACUUGUAUAGUUAAUCUUCCAGGUAACCUGAACAGAAUAUGAUAAUGUCUCAAGAUAUGUGUCCUUGUCUUCAGUUCAAAUCAACCUAGAAGAUAUCGGAGUGGGGCAGAAUCUUGAGAUUAUAAACAUGCGGGUAUAGAAGGCAUUGCUGGUCUUCGUAUCUAGAAGGCUGCACCCCUUUUCUCCCCAGUGUGACAGCCUUAGACAACAUUGGUCAAUGAAUGUCAUAUCCAGGUUGGAAUGCUGUAAAAUGGUUUUAUACAGGCUUCACCUAAAAACGUAACCUGUGAAUUACAGCUGGCUCCAAACAAGUGACCACAUGUAGGCCGGAAGGACUCUGGUAUAGAUGCCAGCUGACCUGGUUCACAGAUGAAAUCCUUGUCAUCUAAGAAUCUUCCCAUUAGAUUCACUUACAGAUGUGUUUAUUCAUAGACUGUUCACCUUGAAAAGCAAAGGCCCUCAGCUCAUAGGUAGUAACAGCCUCCACUUACCCAGCAUGUUCUAGAGUAUCUCUAAUCCUCACAGCAACAUUACAUCCCCAUUAUGUGGAUGAGAAAACAAGUCCUGAGUGAUUACAUGACUUUCUCAAGGCAGUCACCACUCACCAGUAAGUGGUGAAGCCAGGAUUCAAACACAGGUAUAAUUGCAAAGCCCAUGUUCUUUCUACCACACCAAGAUGAUUCAAGAUUAUAUGGAGUUAGAGUCUUCACAGAGGUAAUCGAGUUGGGUCUCUAGAUUGAACCCUAAUCCAAAAUGACUGCUGCCCUUAUAAAAAGGAGAAAUUUGGACCAAGACAAACGAACACAGGGAAGAACGUACAGACACCAGGAGAAGGUGGCCAUCUACAAACCAAGGCACACCUGAGGCUACCAGAAGCUGACAAAGAAGCAUGGAACAGAUUUUGUCUUACGGCCAUCAGAGGGAACCAACCCUGCCAACAUCUUGAUUUUGGACUUCUGGCCUCCAGAAAUUCAAGACAGUACAUUUCUGUUGUUUAAGCCACCUAGUUGUUUGUACUUUGUAGUGGCACUAAGGGAAACUAACACACAGAUGCGUGCCAAGAUGGUGGUUUCUUUUGGUUGGCUUCAUAUCCGUUAGUGACCACUCCUGGUGAGGCACUAUUCUAAGCCUGAAAGUCCAGUAGUUGGAAUCUCGCUGAGAGUUAUAACCCAAAUAAAUAUUCCAAGGACAAACAAGCAAACCAGUAUUCCUAUCAAUGCUCCUCACGCCAAGCGAGAAGGUGAACAAUUUGCAUUUGGUCCCUAGACAGUGGCAUGGCGUGGCAUCUGACACCCCUACUGUUCUUACAGACUUCUGGGUAAAAGUCUUCACUUGCUGCCCUUGUACAAACUUUAUUGUUCGUUCGUUCUUUCUUUUUUUUUUUUUUUGAGACAGAGUCUCGCUCUGUCACCCAGGCUGGAGUGCAGGGGUGUGAUCUCGGCUCACUGCAACCUCCACCUCCCCAGUUCAAGCGAUUCUCCUGCCUCAACCUCCUGAGUAUCUGGGAUUACAGGUGCCCGCCACCACACCUGGCAAAUUUUUGUAUUUUUAGUAGAGAAAAGGUUUCACCACAUUGGCCAGGCUGACCUCGAACCCCUGGCCUCAAUUGAUCUGCCCACCUCGACCUCCCAAAGUGCUGGGAUUACAGGUGAGAGCCACUGCACCCG